RNAcentral lists this ribosomal RNA (468 nucleotides) under uncultured bacterium. Its description in RNAcentral is "partial 16S ribosomal RNA". It matches the Rfam family "Bacterial small subunit ribosomal RNA", at positions 28 to 507 of the family's 1533-position model. The record is from RNAcentral.
GACGAACGCUGGCGGCGUGCUUAACACAUGCCAGUCGAACGGAAAGGCCCUGCUUUUGUGUGGUGCUCGAUUGGCGAACGGGUGAGUAACACGUGAGUAACCUGUCCUUGACUUUGGGAUAACUUCAGGAAACUGGGGCUAAUACCGGAUAGGAGCUCCUGCUGCAUGGUGGGGGUUGGAAAGUUUCGGCGGUUGGGGAUGGACUCGCGGCUUAUCAGCUUGUUGGUGGGGUAGUGACUUACCAAGGCUUUGACGGGUAGCCGGCCUGAGAGGGUGACCGGCAACAUUGGGACUGCGAUACGGACCAGACUGCUACGGGCGGCAGCAGUGGGGAAUAUUGCACAAUGGGCCGACGCCUGAUGCAGCAACGCCGCGUGCGGGAUGACGGCCUUCGGGUUGUAAACCGCUUUCGCAUGUGACGAAGCGUGAGUGACGGUAAUGGGUAAAGAAGCACCGGCUAACUACGUG